This 406-nucleotide ribosomal RNA is filed under the name uncultured bacterium. Its description in RNAcentral is "partial 16S ribosomal RNA". It matches the Rfam family "Bacterial small subunit ribosomal RNA", at positions 30 to 526 of the family's 1533-position model. The record is from RNAcentral.
AUUGAACGCUGGCGGCAGGCCUAACACAUGCAAGUCGAACGAGUGGCGGACGGGUGAGUAAUGUCUGGGAAACUGGCUGAUGGAGGGGGAUAACUACUGGAAACGGUAGCUAAUACCGCAUACCAUCAGAUGUGCCCAGAUGGGAUUAGAUAGUUGGUGGGGUAACGGCUCACCAAGGCGACGAUCCCUCGCUGGUCUGAGAGGAUGACCAGCCACACUGGAACUGAGACACGGUCCAGACUCCUACGUGAGGCAGCAGUGGGGAAUAUUGCACAAUGGGGGCAAGCCUGAUGCAGCCAUGCCGCGUGUAUGAAGAAGGCCUUCGGGUUGUAAAGUACUUUCAGCGGGGAGGCGUUACCCGCAGAAGAAGCACCGGCUAACUCCGUGCCAGCAGCCGCGGUAAUAC